Long non-coding RNA from Dicentrarchus labrax (European seabass), 1312 nucleotides. RefSeq lists it as uncharacterized. The transcript is spliced from 2 exons. The record is from RefSeq and is a predicted model, not a curated record. Lineage: Eukaryota; Metazoa; Chordata; Actinopteri; Moronidae.
UUUAUUGUGUGUCUUUUUAGCUCCCAGUGUGUUUUUAAUUUACAAUAUUUCUGAUUUUAGUGUGUAGUUUUUAUUUGUGUUUUGCACACUGGGAGUGUAUUGUGCUUUUAUUCUGAAAAGCCCAUACGGAUGUGACUCCCCACGGCGUAAUCGCCUGCACCUGUGGAGCGUCAAAUUGGCAGACUUUAAAUAAGCUUCCAGAGGAAGCAGGGCGGAAGAUGGAUCAAGCGGAAAGGGCAGGAAGCCGAAGCAGGAACAGAGGGGACCGAUCGCAGUAACCACGCUGGAGCUGUCGUUGGACGGAGAAGCCAGGGACUAACUGUUAGAAGGCCCCAUGUAGAAGCGGGCAGAGUAUCUACCUCGAGGUCAGCGCCCUGAGGAAGACGACGGUGCGGUGCAGCGGCGUCGAGAGGCCGCAGGACCGAGUACAGAUUGUAUCAACGCUUUCUAGGGCGACGGAGCCACCUCCGCCGGCGCCCCGAGUGUGUGCUGCAGUCCCUGCCUUUGCAGAUAAGACUCUAGACUGUUUUAUUAGACUCCCUCACCCCUCAGUUUUUAGCUUCCCUCAUUUCAACGCCCUUUUAUUAUUUGUCUUACCAUUUUUAGUCUUUUACCCGUGCUUUUAACCUGAUUUUAUUCUGAAAUAAACAUCAGCGUUUCUGCUCUAGGAUCUGUGGUCUUCUUCGUUUUAGCAACUGCUCUCUUGCCUGAUUUUAAACCAUACAGUCAUUUUUAAUACACCUUUUAUGAAAAUAACAAACAUACAUCAUAGCCCCUGCACAGUAGCCUUUCCUCAGUUCCUUCACCUGUGUUCAGGAGAAGACUGCAACUAGUGUCACCACCACAGCGCAAGUAUAAAUAGUUAUACUUAUAUGUUAUAGUCACAUUGUCGCGCUACAGGUCAGGAAUGGCGAGUUUAUAAGAGCCUUAAGGCUCUCUCUGGUGGGUUGAUCCCUUCUUGUACAGCACUUAAAGGACAAUUUACAAUUGAGUGGGAUCUAGCAGUGAAGUUGCAACCAACUGAAUACCGCUCACCUUCCAAGCGCAUAGGAGAAACUGCAAAUAAUGCAAAAAGUUCUAUCUAGAGCAAAGACAUGGUGGCUCAACAUGGCAGACUCUGUAUAAGACGACCCACCCCCCUCUGUAGAUAAAAACAGCUCUUUCUAAGGUAACAAAACACAAGGAUUCUAAUUUUCAGGUGAUAUACACUAAUGAAAAUGUACCUACUGGAUCUUGCACUUAUUUUUGCCAUGGUAAUGGCUGCACAAGUAUAUGCAGUGGCCGGCAACUCAUUAAAACAACUUUGUUUUGA